RNAcentral lists this ribosomal RNA (266 nucleotides) under uncultured bacterium. Its description in RNAcentral is "partial 16S ribosomal RNA". It matches the Rfam family "Bacterial small subunit ribosomal RNA", at positions 88 to 354 of the family's 1533-position model. The record is from RNAcentral.
UCGGCGACCGGCGCACGGGUGAGUAACACGUAUGGAACCUGCCCGCAGCAGGGGGAUAAGCGGAAGAAAUUCCGUCUAAUACCGCGUAACAACGUUGGGAGGCAUCUCCCGAUGUUUAAAGAUUUAUCGGCUGCGGAUGGCCAUGCGGCGCAUUAGCUAGUCGGCGGGGUAACGGCCCACCGAGGCGACGAUGCGUAGGGGUUCUGAGAGGAAGGUCCCCCACACUGGUACUGAGACACGGACCAGACUCCUACGGAAGGCAGCAG